CCAGCAAUAGCUCAGUUGGUAGAGCGUCGGACUGUAGAGUUAUACGAAGUCAUCCGCCGGUCCCUGGUUCAACUCCGGGUUGCUGGA
Ditylenchus destructor is the source of this 87-nucleotide non-coding RNA. The record is from the annotation of a GenBank genome assembly. Lineage: Eukaryota; Metazoa; Nematoda; Chromadorea; Rhabditida; Anguinidae.